Molecule: transfer RNA, 71 nt
Filed under: Flavobacterium piscis
Lineage: Bacteria; Pseudomonadati; Bacteroidota; Flavobacteriia; Flavobacteriales; Flavobacteriaceae
Description: tRNA-Trp
Rfam family: tRNA
About the family: Transfer RNA (tRNA) molecules are approximately 80 nucleotides in length. Their secondary structure includes four short double-helical elements and three loops (D, anti-codon, and T loops).
Source: RNAcentral
AGGAUAGUAGUUUAACUGGAAAAGUAAUUCUGCCACUGUAGUAGUUUUGGGUUCGAAUCCCAACUAUCCUA